RNAcentral lists this ribosomal RNA (194 nucleotides) under uncultured bacterium. Its description in RNAcentral is "partial 16S ribosomal RNA". It matches the Rfam family "Bacterial small subunit ribosomal RNA", at positions 338 to 524 of the family's 1533-position model. The record is from RNAcentral.
CCUAUGGGAGGCAGCAGUGGGGAAUAUUGCACAAUGGGCGAAAGCCUGAUGCAGCCAUGCCGCGUGUGUGAAGAAGGCCCUAGGGUUGUAAAGCACUUUCAGUGGGGAGGAAAGGUUGAAGGUUAAUACCCUUCGGCUGUGACGUUACCCACAGAAGAAGCACCGGCUAACUCCGUGCCAGCAGCCGCGGUAAU